Molecule: small nucleolar RNA, 122 nt
Filed under: Cervus hanglu yarkandensis (Yarkand deer)
Lineage: Eukaryota; Metazoa; Chordata; Mammalia; Artiodactyla; Cervidae
Description: Small nucleolar RNA SNORA70 (ENSCHYG00000004590.1)
Rfam family: Small nucleolar RNA SNORA70
About the family: snoRNA U70 seems to be exclusive to mammals and is a member of the H/ACA class of snoRNA which contain H (ANANNA) and ACA box motifs. H/ACA box snoRNAs are involved in the conversion of uridines to pseudouridines (5-ribosyluracil) a constituent of structural RNAs (transfer, ribosomal, small nuclear, and small nucleolar).
Source: Rfam by way of RNAcentral
CUGCUCAUCAAAAACAUGAUUAAGAAAAUGAUGAUAUGCGCUGGCUGCAAACAGCAGCCUCCUCAAUAGUACAUGCAACCUAUUGCCUGAAUGGACUGCCCUAAGAGACCCUAGAGACCAUG